Long non-coding RNA from Malaclemys terrapin pileata, 646 nucleotides. RefSeq lists it as uncharacterized. The transcript has 3 exons. Lineage: Eukaryota; Metazoa; Chordata; Testudines; Emydidae. The record is from RefSeq and is a predicted model, not a curated record.
GUUUUGGGGGUAGUGUGGCACAAGCAAAUCAAAUCCAUCACAGAUCUAGAAGUGAAUAGCCCAUCCUGGGCCAGCAUCUCUACAGAAAGUCCCUGUCACAAGACCUUAUUGACUAAAAUGCAGCAGCAGAAGGGCAUCUGUUUGUGGAGGGAAAACUAGAAUAUUCCCUUUUGAGUUCCGCUUCCUCCUUUCGAUCCACCUACCAUCAGACACUUCCUGGGCAUCUCUCUAGCAGGGAGAGUGUAGCAGCUGCCUUUUUUUUUUUUUUUUUUUGCAACGCGGGCUCCUUCUCUAAUCAGUGGAAGGUUGGGGGAAGGGGAUGUUAUCUCAGUGACAAAUCCAGCCCUGCAAGUCUGGGAGGCGUUUGUGCCUGGGGAGUUUAAAAGUGAACUGCAAAGAAAAAAAUUAUGACCCUGCCAUCACUCCUGUGUUACCAUCCAGGAAUGCAGAGGUGGAUCCAGCGCUUGCGGAUGAGAAUGCUAGUCCAGGUGUUUCCAAACUUCCCGGGGCAGAUGUCGGGAAUAUAAAGAGCACCGCAGUGCGAGGACAAGCAACAUGUCCAUCACCACAUAAUCUAAGUCCUGAAGUGGAGUGUUUAUUUUCACACAGAAAAGUCACAGUGAAGUGGAGUUUCGCUAUAACAGGA